Molecule: ribosomal RNA, 3558 nt
Filed under: Pinus taeda (loblolly pine)
Lineage: Eukaryota; Viridiplantae; Streptophyta; Pinopsida; Pinales; Pinaceae
Description: eukaryotic LSU rRNA
Rfam family: Eukaryotic large subunit ribosomal RNA
Source: RNAcentral
UACCUCAAGUGAUGUUUCGUGGCAUGCGUCAGCGAACAGUGAUCUUGUCACCUUGGAUGGGCAGUCGACAUUAGUUGAUGUGGGCUUUGUGUGGCGUCGCUCAAACUUGCAUUACUCUCUCUUUUCCUCCCACCGGGUAGGGCAUAUUUAGCUCCAACUUUGCAACCUCAGCUCAGGCAAGAACACCCACUGAGUUUAAGCAUAUAAUUAAGUGGAGGAAAAGAAACUUACAAGGAUUCCCCUAGUAGUGGCGAGUGAAUCAGGAAGAGCCCAACAUGAAAAUCGGGUGGCAGCGUCCCCUGAAUUGUAAUCUGUAGAAGCAUCCUCAGUGGCAGACCUAGGCCAAGUCCCUUGGAAGGGGGUUCCUGAGAGCGUGACAGCCCCGUCGGGCUGGGAGCCUGCCGCAUCAUGAGGCGUUGUUGGCGAGUCAAGUUGUUUUGGAAUGCAGCCCUAAUUGAGUGGUAAAUUCCAUCUAAGGCUAAAUAUAGGCGAGAGACCGAUAGCGAAAAAGUACAGCGAGGGAAAUAUGAAAAGGACUUUGAAAAGAGAGUUAAAGAGUGCUUGAAAUUGCUGGGAGGGAAGUAGAUGGAGGCUGUUGAUGUGUCUCGGUCAGAUGUGGAACGACUUAGGCUGGUCUGCCGCUCGACUUGAGGUGCAAACCAACACGAGCUGCUGCAUCGUCACAAGCGCAGAUGGAUUAUUGCCUGUCGGUUUGCCAUUGCGGUGAUCGAGAAACAAAUCAUGUGCCCUUGUGGUGGGCUACGUGGACCUAUGCGGUCAUGGUGUUGGUUGGCAGGCUUUCCAUUCGACCCAUCUUGAAACACGGACCAAGGAGUCUAACAUGUGUGCGAGUUGGCGGGUUUGAAAACUUGCGAGGUGCAAGGAAUCUAACAGGCAAGAUGCCCUCUCUAGGCGGGUGCAUCGUCAACUGACCUUGAACUUAUGCGAAGGGUUCGAGUGCGAGCACACCUAUUGGGACCUAAAAGAUGGUGAACUAUGCCUGAGCAGGACAAACCCAUAGGAAACUCUAGUGGAGGCUCAUAGCGAUACUGAUAUGAAAAUCAUUCAUCUAACUUGGGUAUAGGGGCAAAAGACUAAUCGAACCAUCUAGUAGCUAGUUUCCUUCGAAGUUACCCUCAAGAUAGAUAGAGCUCACGUGCAAGUUUUAUCGGGUAAAGAAAAUGAUUAGAGGCAUGAGGGGCAUAAUGCCCUUGACCUAUUCUCAAAAUUUAAAUAGGUAAGAGGGUGUGGUUGCUCCAUUCAGCCAUGCCGUGGAAUCGAGAGCUCCAAGUGGGCCAUUUUUGGUAAGCAGAACUAACGAUGCGUGAUGAACCAAAAGUCGAGUUAUGGUGCCAAAUUUCACACUAACCUAUAUCCCACAAAGGGUGUUAGUUGAUUAAGACAAUAGGAUGGUGGUCAUGGAAGUCAAAAUCGACUAAGAAGUGUGUAACAACUCACCUGCCGAAUCUACUAGCCCCAAAAAUGGAUGGCACUGAAGCACGCAACCUAUACUUGACUGUUGGAGUAAUUUCUUGGCUCCGAUGAGUAGGAGGACAUGGGGGUCAUUCAGAAACCUCAGGCGUGAGCUUGGGUGCAGUGGCCCCCAGUGUAGAUCUUGGUGGUAGUAGCAAAUACUCAAAUGAGAACUUUGAAGACUGAAGUGGGGAAAGGUUCCAUGUGAACCUCACUUGGACAUGGGUUAGUCGAUCCUAAGAGAUGGGGAAGCCUUGUAUCAAGGGUGCACUCUGCAUGAGCAUCGAAAGGGAAUCGAGUUAAUAUUCCCAAACUGGGACAUGGUGGUGGUCGGCAACGUUAGGAAAUCUGGAGACGUCGUCAGGGACCCGGGAAGAGUUAUCUUUUCUUUUUAACAGCUUGCCCACCCUGGAAUCGGUUCACCUGGAGAUAGGGUCCAGAAACUAGAAGAGCACCACACAUCUUGCAGUGUUUGAUGUGUCCUCGGUGACCCUUAAAAAUAUGGAGGACCGAGUACCAUUCAUGCUCGGUUGUACUCAUAACCACAUCAGGUCUCCAAGGUGAACAACCUCUAGUCAACAAAACGAUCUAGGUAAGGGAAGUCAGCGAAACGGAUCUGUAACUUCGAGAAAAUGGUUGUCUCUGAGGGCUGGGCCUAGGGGUCUGUGCCUUCAAAUCGUGGGCUUUCGGCAGUUUGCCCGAGCUGCUCUGGCGGCGAGGGCGAGUGGUCGUGUGCCGAUUGGGCUACGGGUGUAGAAUUCCCCUUAUUGGGGGCUUUCCCUAGGAGUUGAAUAGUCGACUCAGAAUUGGUACAUACACUAUUUAAUUAAAACAAAGCAUUGUGAUGGUCCUUGCGGAUGCUGACGCAAUGUGAUUUCUGUCCAGUGCUCUGAAUGUCAAAGUGAAGAAAUUAAAGCAAGCACAAGUAAACGGCGGGAGUAACUAUGACUCUCUUAAGGUAGCCAAAUGUCUCGUCUCUAAUUAGUGAUGCACAUGAAUGGAUUAACGAGAUUUCCAUUGUCCCUGUCUACUAUCUAGCGAAAUCACAGCCAAGGGAAUGGGCUUGGCAGAAUCAGCAGGGAAAAAAGACCCUGUUGAGCUUGACUCUAGUCCAACUUCGUGAAAUGAGUUGAGAGGUGUAGAAUAAGUGGGAGUUGUUUUCAGCGCAAGUGAAAUACCACUACUUUUAAAGUUAUUUUAUUUAUUUUGUGGGGAAGAGAAGGGUACUGCCCAUGUUUUUGGCCUUAAGGCACGUUUCGGCAGGUCUAUCUAGGCGAAAGACAUUGUUAGGUGGGGAUUUUUGCUGGGGUGGCACAUCUAUUAAAAGAUAAUGCAGGUUUCCUAAGAUGAGCUCAACGAGAACAGAAAUCUCGUGUGGAACAAAAGGGUAAAAGCUCAUUUGAUUUUUAUUUUUAGUGCAAAUAAAAACCGUGAAAGUAUGGCCUAUCGAUCCUUUAGAUUUCAGAAUUUGAAGCUAGAGGUGUCAGAAAAGUUACCACAUGGAUAACUGGCUUGUGUGGCAGCCAAGCGUUCAUAGUGACGUUUCUUUUUUAUCCUUCGAUGUUAGCUCUUCCUAUCAUUGUGAAGCAGAAUUCACCAAGUGUUGGAUUGUUCACCCACCAAUAGGGAACAUGAGCUAGGUUUAGAAUGUCGUGAGAAAGGUUAGUUUUACCCUACUGAUGAACUGCAUCGCAAUAGUAAUUCAACUUAGUGUGAGAGGAAUCGUUGAUUCACACAAUUGGUCAUCACGCUUGGUUGAAAAGCCAGUGGUGCAAAGAUACCAUGUGUCAAAUUAUGACUGAAUUCCUCUAAGUCAUAAUAUACACUAGAAGAGGUGCAUGUCACUCUUCGACUGUAUUUAGACCAGUAGUAGGGGCAUCGCUUUGUUUCCCGUAGGGGCCCGUGUCAUUUGCAAACGACGACCGUGAAGCAUCUCGGUCGGGGGAGCUUUGAAGUUCAAUUCCAAAUGGUCGUUGAGAAGAAUCCUUUGUAGAUGACUCAAAUACUCGAUGGGGUAUUGUAAGUGGUACAGUGGCCUUGUUCCCAUGAUCCACUAAGAUUCAGCCCUUGGUCGCCUCAAUUCAG